GGAUGAGGUAGUACCUCCACAGGUAGUGGGGUGGCGAGGCAGAGUAGCCACGACACUGGCAGUAGCCAGGGUACAGGUAGUGGGGACACUUGUGGGACACACUCUCAUAGUUUUGUUCGUCGAUCUUGUUGUAGCACACGAAUAUUUUCUGAGAAGCUGUCAUGGACAAUUAUAAAAUCAAUGGUGGUUUCUGAGAGGCAGUAGUGUGUGUGGAAGGUGACGCAAUGGCUCAGGUGAGAGGCAGCACUGUGUCUUGAAGGUGACGCUAUGGUUCAGGUGAGAGGCAGUGAAGAGUGACGUUAUGGCUCUGGUGAGAGGUAGUAAAGUGUCUUGAAGGUGACGCUAGGACUCAGUGAGAGGCAGUAAAGUGUCUUGAAGGUGACGCUAGGACUCAGCAGAGAGGCAGUGCUGUGUCCUGAAAGACUCCUGCGAUAUCUCGGGGUAACCUUGAGCGAUACAGGUGAUAAAGCAUACCUUUACUGAGGCAGUCGUCUAGUGUGCGUGUGUGUACACGCGUCCAGAUGCAAGUCAACACAGGGCGGCGGCGGCGGCGGCGGCCGGCGGCGAUAAUAAGUGACCUAUACUAAGUCAGCCAAAGAUUCAAACACUGAUUUGAUACAUCGCAUCUGAUACUCUACUCUAAAAGGGAUUUGAUAACUUAACCUGUAACACAGGCGAACAAGCAGUCCAGACGUGUGGUAUCAUGUGUGUUGUUCUGCUUCCCAAUGUAUAUUUGUUUUUCGUAUGUUUUAUAUUCAAAUUAAGUUCAAACACGCAUCAGACAAGGAAGGCGAGGUGAAGAAAAUACUCAAAUGGUUCCGAGAAGCAACCCGAGUUGAAGCAGGUUGAUUCUAUUCUUGGAGGUUGUGGGUCCCCAGCAGUUAAUUCUGGAGGCUGUACCUCUCUGUGUACUCUGAUGCCGAGUAUGCAGGUUCGAAUCCUGCUGUGGAAUUGUGAGAUAAUGUAAGUUAUAUAAAAAUAUACAACCACAGAAUCGAAUGAUAGCUCUAGGCCUUUCGUUUUCCAAUCAACACAUGAAGAACUUGCAAUGUUGCAGAAAUGAGCAGUAUGCCCCGACGGUAUCGUCCAGGGGAACGAUAUAUAUGCGUAUAAAUGCAACAUUGCAUUUAUACGCGAAUCGUCAAAUUGAAAUUUGUCGCGGCGGUAUUCAGCAAAAUUAAUAAAGUUUAAUGAGAGUAAA
Non-coding RNA from Cherax quadricarinatus, 1201 nucleotides. Lineage: Eukaryota; Metazoa; Arthropoda; Malacostraca; Decapoda; Parastacidae. The record is from RefSeq and is a predicted model, not a curated record.